CAUGUUCAAAGAUCUCGCAUCCGGCCUCCACCUGUGCGCUGAUCUCCACCUCGAGGGUCCCUGGGAGACAGACGAAGCGUCUGAAUGCGCGUCGCUCCGUCGACGAGGACAUGAAGAGUGGAGAGAGCAGCGACACGGAUUCGCAGCCACCCACAAGCCGCAAGUCACGCGGUAGAGUGUAUGUACAGCUGAGAGCAGGUCGUCUGCAGUUGGCGAGUCGAGGAGCGGCGAGGCAGGCGGAGAGAGCAGCAAAAAGUCCAAGAGUGUGUCGCGGAAGACGACGACGCCGUCAGCCGCUGGGACACAGGCAGUUCCACGGAAUAUGCAUGCACGAGAAAGCAAGCGCACACAAGGGAGAGAGGACGUAAAACAAACAUUCGGGGCGAAAAGGACAGAGAAAAAGCGAACGGAGAAAGUCGCCGUAACAAAUAGAGAAGGAAACUUGAAAACAUCCACUUGUCGACGAAAGCACAACCGAGAGGCUACAACGAGUGACACGCAGACGGAUAACCGCGGCGGAAGACAGAGAACGCGAACGUGGAGGAGAAAAGACAAACGUAUCUGGCAGACCAUCUUACAAAUCUGUGACAGACAAACACCUGUUAAAUUUACAGUCGUCGCUCUUCAGGGACAGAGGCCACAAAAUUUAAACUGCUGAACUUCUACGCGUGCUGGUGAUCUACGACAACUGACAAAAACACCUACAAAAGCAGACAUGGAAGUAUUGCUGCAC
RNAcentral lists this long non-coding RNA (733 nucleotides) under Toxoplasma gondii VEG. Lineage: Eukaryota; Apicomplexa; Conoidasida; Eucoccidiorida; Sarcocystidae. The record is from RNAcentral.